GUCUAUAUCCAUGCCUCCCUGAACAAGCCCGAUGUCCGAUCUCGCAAGCUAAGCAGGGUCGGGCCUGGGUAGUAGUUGGAUGAGAGACCACCUUGGAAGACCAGGUACUGCAGGUA
Pteropus vampyrus (large flying fox) is the source of this 116-nucleotide ribosomal RNA. Lineage: Eukaryota; Metazoa; Chordata; Mammalia; Chiroptera; Pteropodidae. The record is from Ensembl.